Molecule: long non-coding RNA, 658 nt
Organism: Lemur catta (Ring-tailed lemur)
Lineage: Eukaryota; Metazoa; Chordata; Mammalia; Primates; Lemuridae
Exons: 3
Source: RefSeq, a predicted model, not a curated record
UCCCGUGACCAGUGAUUUUCCUGUAAGCUCAUUAUUCUGAGUGAUGGUCUGGCUGGCUAGGGCUACUGGCUGCUGAAAGGCUCUGCAGAAACGCGGGUAGUCUGAGCGAUGCUGCCCGCCUCUCUACCCGGGCUCCAGUUGUGGAGUACACGGCUCUGUUCAUGGAGGCCAUGCACACUGGCCACAGAGAAGCAGCCCAGCUGCAGAAGGAUCCACGUGAGCAUUUUGCAUUCUCACAGGUCAAAUGAGAGAACUUCCCAGACUUAUUCAGAAGAUACACUGAGACACAAAAAUAUCACUCAGCCAAUAAGUGGUUGAGGCAGGACUGAAACCCAAGAAGCUUCGUGACGGUUGUGAUGAGUCACAUCACAAUGGUGGUGGCAUCCAGACAUGAUCUUGAAACCCAACCACCAUGUUGUGAAGAAGCCUGCAGCCCAUGGAGAAGUCCAGAUAGCUAGAAACUGAGGCCAAAGGCCCACAUUCCCUGCUGAGCUCCCAGAUUUCAGUCAGUCCCAAGUGCCAGCAUAUGAAGAAGACAUCUUGAAAGUAGAUGCAAGCCACUCCAGCCAAUGAAAUGUACAGCAGAGAUGUGCUUCCCUUUUAAUCCCUGCCCAAAUAACAGAUUCAUGAACAAAAUAAAGCACUGUUGUACUUUUAA